Molecule: long non-coding RNA, 314 nt
Filed under: Capra hircus (goat)
Lineage: Eukaryota; Metazoa; Chordata; Mammalia; Artiodactyla; Bovidae
Description: lncRNA (ENSCHIG00000003678.1)
Source: RNAcentral
AAGUGCACCCUAGGGUCAGCUGUUUGGCUCCUCUCUUCUGCUUGCACGAGUGACGACUGUUCCAGUGAUGUAAGCGAGCCCGAUGCCGGGAGGGCCUCUUUUGUAAGCCACCUCUAGGAAUCUGGAUCAAAGAAUACGGCGGCCAUCGUCCUGCGGAGCAAAUUAGUGGCUGCUUCCUUCCUUCUAAUGGAUGCCAAAAGUAAAAAUCCUGCACGCCACAACUGGAAGAUCACAUGUGCGGCAAUGAAGAUCAAAGGUCCUGAAUGCUGCAACCAAGACCCAGUGCAGCCAGAUAAAUGAAUGACUGAAUGAAU